UACACUCCUGCGGGAGGCAGCAGUGGGGAAUUUUGGACAAUGGGCGAAAGCCUGAUCCAGCAAUGCCGCGUGAGUGAAGAAGGCCUUCGGGUUGUAAAGCUCUUUUGUCAGGGAAGAAACGGUGAGAGCUAAUAUCUCUUGCUAGUGACGGUACCUGAAGAAUAAGCACCGGCUAACUACGUGCCAGCAGCCGCGGUAAUACGUAGGGUGCAAGCGUUAAUCGGAAUUACUGGGCGUAAAGCGUGCGCAGGCGGUUUUGUAAGUCUGAUGUGAAAUCCCCGGGCUCAACCUGGGAAUUGCAUUGGAGACUGCAAGGCUAGAAUCUGGCAGAGGGGGGUAGAAUUCCACGUGUAGCAGUGAAAUGCGUAGAUAUGUGGAGGAACACCGAUGGCGAAGGCAGCCCCCUGGGUCAAGAUUGACGCUCAUGCACGAAAGCGUGGGGAGCAAACAGGAUUAGAAACCCCAGUAGUCCCAUGA
RNAcentral lists this ribosomal RNA (477 nucleotides) under uncultured organism. RNAcentral describes it as "partial 16S ribosomal RNA". It matches the Rfam family "Bacterial small subunit ribosomal RNA", at positions 332 to 800 of the family's 1533-position model. The record is from RNAcentral.